Long non-coding RNA from Odocoileus virginianus texanus, 695 nucleotides. RefSeq lists it as uncharacterized. The record is from RefSeq and is a predicted model, not a curated record. Lineage: Eukaryota; Metazoa; Chordata; Mammalia; Artiodactyla; Cervidae.
GAGUGAAGUAAGGUCGACCUGACUGCCCCCAGGAGCUCCUUGUGCAGCGAGCCCAUGGAUUUCCCUCCGAAUCCUGUGGAAGCCGCUGGGUCUCCGAGGACCAGGCCUUCUUUCUGAGGAGAGCAGCUGCUUGUCUUUAAAGCAGCUCAGCAGGGGAAGGACUAUUUGCAUUGGGCUUUGUUUAAUUUGCCCCGAGCCCAGCGCACUGAGUCCAUUUGCCGUCACAUUAUCUAAGACAGCUCCAGAGAUUCUCAUCCUAGGAUCAAUUCCAUUCCCGAGUGACAUCCACUUAACACCCAGGGCCCCGUGCUUUUAGCUGAAUAAAGGUCAGGCCAUCCGCCGUCUGGGUGGCCGCCCAUCAUCGCAACGGACAACAGGCCACUGGGGAAAGGUUAAUGGAUGCAAAGCUCCAGACUCACCUCCACAAGCAGGGCGUUCGCUUGGGAAACACCAUCUUGCUGGGGAUCAAGGCCGUCCUUUGCCAGAAAUCUCCGCUCUGAAGAUCUGCAGAUGUGUGAACCCCGCACCCAGUGGAAGUGGAGACGGGCUGAGAGGAGGACUCUGUCCUUGGAGCCGGCUGGGAGAUUCUAGAACAGAUGGGACGUGGUACAAGGCGGGCUGCCUCAGGCGGAGCCUCGGUUUCCCUGUCGCAGAGACGGCGUCCCCACAUGGGUCCUUUCUGUCCCCAAAUCCAU